RNAcentral lists this ribosomal RNA (164 nucleotides) under uncultured bacterium. RNAcentral describes it as "partial 16S rRNA". It matches the Rfam family "Bacterial small subunit ribosomal RNA", at positions 355 to 511 of the family's 1533-position model. The record is from RNAcentral.
UAGGGAAUCUUCCACAAUGGGCGAAAGCCUGAUGGAGCAACGCCGCGUGUGUGAUGAAGGGUUUCGGCUCGUAAAACACUGUUGUAAGAGAAGAAUGACAUUGAGAGUAACUGUUCAAUGUGUGACGGCAUCUUACCAGAAAGGAACGGCUAAAUACGUGCCAC